RNAcentral lists this ribosomal RNA (443 nucleotides) under uncultured bacterium. RNAcentral's name for it is "partial 16S ribosomal RNA". It matches the Rfam family "Bacterial small subunit ribosomal RNA", at positions 338 to 795 of the family's 1533-position model. The record is from RNAcentral.
CCUACGGGUGGCAGCAGUGGGGAAUAUUGGGCAAUGGGCGCAACCCUGACCCAGCAACGCCGCGUGAAUGAAGAAGGCUUUCGGUUUGUAAAGUUCUUUUCUCAGGGACGAAGCAAGUGACGGUACCUGAGUAAUAAGCCACGGCUAACUACGUGCCAGCAGCCGCGGUAAUACGUAGGGGGCAAGCGUUAUCCGGAUUUACUGGGUGUAAAGGGAGUGUAGGCGGGAAAGCAAGUCUGAUGUGAAAGGCAUGGGCUCAACCUGUGGACUGCAUUGGAAACUGUUUGGCUUGAGUACAGGAGAGGUAAACGGAAUUCCUAGUGUAGCGGUGAAAUGCGUAGAUAUUAGGAGGAACACCAGUGGCGAAGGCGGUGUACUGGACAGCAACUGACGCUGAGGCGCGAAAGCGUGGGGAGCAAACAGGAUUAGAUACCCUAGUAGUC